This 286-nucleotide ribosomal RNA is filed under the name Ornithodoros coriaceus. Its description in RNAcentral is "partial 16S ribosomal RNA". The stretch from base 139 to 286 matches the Rfam family "Bacterial large subunit ribosomal RNA", at positions 2473 to 2620 of the family's 2925-position model. The record is from RNAcentral. Lineage: Eukaryota; Metazoa; Arthropoda; Arachnida; Ixodida; Argasidae.
UAAUUUAUAUUUUAAUUAAGAUUAUUAGAAAUUUAUUUUUUAGUUAUGAUUGGGGUGAUUUUUAAAGAUUAUUAAUCUUUAAAAUUUUUUAAUAAAAAAGUUCCAUUAGUAGUGAUUUUUUGAUAAAAAUACUCUAGGGAUAACAGCGUUAUUAUUUUGGAUAGUUCAUAUAGAUAAAAUAGUUUGCGACCUCGAUGUUGGAUUAGGAAACUUUUAUGAUGAAGAAGUUAUAAGGGAGAAGUUUGCUCAACUUUUAAAGACCUACUUGAUCUGAGUUCAGACCGGG